This 73-nucleotide transfer RNA is filed under the name Ichthyophis bannanicus. RNAcentral's name for it is "tRNA-Ser". It matches the Rfam family "tRNA". Rfam says of the family: Transfer RNA (tRNA) molecules are approximately 80 nucleotides in length. The record is from RNAcentral. Lineage: Eukaryota; Metazoa; Chordata; Amphibia; Gymnophiona; Ichthyophiidae.
AAAAAGGAGGCAUAAUGGUUGAUGUGAUUGGCUUGAAACUAAUUUAAUGUGGGUUCGAUUCCUACCCUUUUUG